GUGUAGAUGAGGAGGGAGCGUGCCAUUGAUGAAAGAUGAGAACAUGGUCAAUGCGCGGCCUGGUUGAUAGCUUGGAACGAAAUGUCCUGCUCCUCUUACUGUCACAAAUGUCAAGUUCUGGUAUUCUACUGCAUAACCACCAACCUAGAAAGGAAAAGGAUUAUAUGAAAUAAUUAAUUUAUGUACAUACAUGAUAUUCUGAAAAUAGACAUUGUACAUAGAGUUGAAGAAUAAUGACAACUUUGUUACCUCGCCUUGGAAGAACCAAGGGUACCAUGGUGUUUUGACUGGUGUUUUUAUUUUGUCUAUGGCAUAUGUACUUGUCGUCACAGAUAACAUAUGAUCUAUGUCUCCACUGAAAUUGUUAAAAACAAAGUCUUAAGAAAAUGUUAUUGUUUUGAAAUCACUAAAAUUCUGAAUUGUUUCUGAUGACUGCUUCCUUGCUUGAUUUACUUACCUAUAAAUCCAAACCCUAAUGCCACUUUGCAUGAGCUCUUGAAAGACUGUUAGAACAGAGUGCGGGGAGUCCUGCCAAGAGCCGAAUAUGAAACCACUGCACAAGUGAGAAAUGAAGAAAUUGAAAUUAAUCCCCAAAAGAUAAUAAUAAGCCUCAAGAAUGAAAAUGUUUUAGAGAACUCAAUGUAUUACUUGCAGGAAUCCCAGGAAUAGGGUGUAUCUUUGACAUUAAGGGCCUUUUGUACUUCAGCACUAUUUAGGUAAUUGUCUACGUAAUCAGCUGAGCAUGGAUCAAAUCCAUCUAUCUGUUAUACACAAAAGAAAAAGUUGCCAUCACAAAAUUUAAUAGAAGUAUGUAAAAUCUACAGAGAGGUGACUGGUGAGCGUAUUGGGGCGUAGAAUGUUGUUGUGCAUGGUCUUUUUUUUUUCCUCACCGUGAUCGUCACCUUAAUUUGGGCACUGCAAAUAUUUCUUUUUUCCUCAAUAAUGAAUGAGCAGUUAGCCAGUGGAACUUACAGGAAGGGAAGUAUAGACAGAGGAGUUGCACAGUUGGGAAUAUGUGUUGUAAGCAUAUAUAUUGCUUUGAGAUGAAUCUGCUUGCUUAAUGUACUCAUUACAUGCUUUUGAGGUUGUCUCUGCCGAGAAGUUGCAAUUCAAGACAAUUCCUUCAUGGACUUCAUCUGAUAUUAGAGCAUGGGUCCAAUAAAAGUCGUAUGUACCACUGUUCAUUGUUUCGUCAUCGAUGAUGCCAUUUCCAGUCUGAAAUCCAUGCCAUAUGCAUGCAAUUAAGACGCAGACACGAAAUAACUAGUGACUUAAUCAUGAGAAAAGUAAUUUAGUGACCAUUUGAAGCUUAGCUUACUGCUAUUCCUUGCAAGUUAAUGACAAGGUUUGGUUCUGUUUCCUUGUAGGAUAAGAUCAGCUGAGCAAGUUGAGGCACAUAGUGGCCAGCAUAACUCUCUCCAGUAAUAUAGAAAUCUCGGUGUUUAUAUUCUGGGAAUCUUUCCAUCCAAUUGAUGAGAAAGGUGAAACUGUCUUGUCUGGUCUUUUCGUCUCCAGUAGAAUAAUCUGUUGAUGUGUUAGAAUAAGAGAAUCCAACACCAGCAGGUGAUUCUAAAUAGAGGAUGUUUGCCACUGCAUUAAAUUUGCAAAAUUGUUGUCAUUGUUAUUUACAGGUUUGUGAUUUCUCUCAAUUGUGAUGACAGAUUUUGCAGAAGAGAGAGGUAUGAGUACCAUUGUUCCAGGCAAAAGGGUUGAGCAAUAAGGUUUUUCCAUCUUUAUUGACGCGGAAUGGUCCAAGUUCCAUCAUGGCUCCAGCCCCGAAUGAAGAGCAACCAGGUC
This 1797-nucleotide long non-coding RNA is filed under the name Solanum tuberosum (potato). RNAcentral describes it as "long non-coding RNA (STUB_LNC002431)". Lineage: Eukaryota; Viridiplantae; Streptophyta; Magnoliopsida; Solanales; Solanaceae. The record is from RNAcentral.